Molecule: ribosomal RNA, 1434 nt
Filed under: uncultured organism
Description: 16S ribosomal RNA
Rfam family: Bacterial small subunit ribosomal RNA
Source: RNAcentral
AGGAUGAACGCUAGCUACAGGCUUAACACAUGCAAGUCGAGGGGCAGCAUGGUCUUAGCUUGCUAAGGCCGAUGGCGACCGGCGCACGGGUGAGUAACACGUAUCCAACCUGCCGUCUACUCUUGGACAGCCUUCUGAAAGGAAGAUUAAUACAAGAUGGCAUCAUGAGUCCACAUGUUCACAUGAUUAAAGGUAUUCCGGUAGACGAUGGGGAUGCGCUCCAUUAGAUAGUAGGCGGGGUAACGGCCCACCUAGUCUUCGAUGGAUAGGGGUUCUGAGAGGAAGGUCCCCCACAUUGGAACUGAGACACGGUCCAAACUCCUACGGGAGGCAGCAGUGAGGAAUAUUGGUCAAUGGGCGAGAGCCUGAACCAGCCAAGUAGCGUGAAGGAUGACUGCCCUAUGGGUUGUAAACUUCUUUUAUAAAGGAAUAAAGUCGGGUAUGGAUACCCGUUUGCAUGUACUUUAUGAAUAAGGAUCGGCUAACUCCGUGCCAGCAGCCGCGGUAAUACGGAGGAUCCGAGCGUUAUCCGGAUUUAUUGGGUUUAAAGGGAGCGUAGAUGGAUGUUUAAGUCAGUUGUGAAAGUUUGCGGCUCAACCGUAAAAUUGCAGUUGAUACUGGAUAUCUUGAGUGCAGUUGAGGCAGGCGGAAUUCGUGGUGUAGCGGUGAAAUGCUUAGAUAUCACGAAGAACUCCGAUUGCGAAGGCAGCCUGCUAAGCUGCAACUGACAUUGAGGCUCGAAAGUGUGGGUAUCAAACAGGAUUAGAUACCCUGGUAGUCCACACGGUAAACGAUGAAUACUCGCUGUUUGCGAUAUACAGCAAGCGGCCAAGCGAAAGCGUUAAGUAUUCCACCUGGGGAGUACGCCGGCAACGGUGAAACUCAAAGGAAUUGACGGGGGCCCGCACAAGCGGAGGAACAUGUGGUUUAAUUCGAUGAUACGCGAGGAACCUUACCCGGGCUUAAAUUGCAGAUGAAUUACGGUGAAAGCCGUAAGCCGCAAGGCAUCUGUGAAGGUGCUGCAUGGUUGUCGUCAGCUCGUGCCGUGAGGUGUCGGCUUAAGUGCCAUAACGAGCGCAACCCUUGUUGUCAGUUACUAACAGGUUCCGCUGAGGACUCUGACAAGACUGCCAUCGUAAGAUGUGAGGAAGGUGGGGAUGACGUCAAAUCAGCACGGCCCUUACGUCCGGGGCUACACACGUGUUACAAUGGGGGGUACAGAGGGCCGCUACCACGCGAGUGGAUGCCAAUCCCAAAAACCUCUCUCAGUUCGGACUGGAGUCUGCAACCCGACUCCACGAAGCUGGAUUCGCUAGUAAUCGCGCAUCAGCCACGGCGCGGUGAAUACGUUCUCGGGCCUUGUACACACCGCCCGUCAAGCCAUGGGAGCCGGGGGUACCUGAAGUGCGUAACCGCGAGGAGCGCCCUAGGGUA